Molecule: RNA transcript, 1002 nt
Organism: Tripterygium wilfordii
Lineage: Eukaryota; Viridiplantae; Streptophyta; Magnoliopsida; Celastrales; Celastraceae
Gene name: probable cytokinin riboside 5'-monophosphate phosphoribohydrolase LOGL1
Exons: 7
Source: RefSeq, a predicted model, not a curated record
GUAGAGACUUGAGACUUCUAAUCUAGGACGACUUGUAUUCUUGUUGGGAGAAGAUCAAUCGAUGGGAAAGUUCAAAAGGGUUUGUGUGUUUUGUGGAAGUAAUUCUGGGAAUAGAAAGAUAUUCAGUGAGGCAGCUCUUGAUCUUGGCAGACAAUUGGUUGAGAGGAAGAUGGAUUUAGUGUAUGGAGGAGGAAGUGUUGGGCUGAUGGGAUUGGUUUCCCAGACAGUUUAUGAUGCUGGAUGCCAAGUUCUUGGAAUUAUCCCAGAAGCACUUGUUCCACUUGAGAUAUCAGGGCAGUCAGUGGGAGAAGUGAUGAUCGUGUCAGAUAUGCACGAAAGAAAAGCAGAGAUGGCUCGCAGAGCAGAUGCUUUCAUUGCACUUCCUGGAGGAUAUGGAACGUUGGAAGAGUUGCUCGAGAUGAUAACAUGGUCUCAACUUGGAAUCCAUGACAAACCUGUAGGUCUCCUAAACGUGGAUGGAUACUACGAUUGCCUGCUCGGAUUGUUUGACAAAGGAGUAGAAGAAGGAUUUAUCAAGCCAUCUGCAAGGAACAUCAUCGUAUCAACAAAGAAUGCGCGAGAGCUGCUACAGAAGAUGGAGGUAUCUGUAUGACCCAGCACCAUAGCAAACAAAAGUUCUUGCUUUCAAACUAGAUUAUCAACUGCAACUGAAACUGCAAUUGAGAACUACAUACUACAGAGCAGACGGGAAUACAUUCCUCUACAUGAUCAAGUGGCGGCAAGACAAAAUUGGAACACAGAAGAAAACCACAACACUAACUGUAGCUGUUUACCCUCUUGAUCAUACACUAUGUAAAGAAGGAUUCUAAUAUAGUAAUCCUACUUAAUGGAUGAUUCUUGGUUCUUACUGAAAUAAGGCAAGGCAGAAAAGGGAAGACACAUUGUACAGUGCCUCAAAUGGCGCUACUUGUGCAGGCGAAUCCCAUAGCUUUCAACAGCUAUACUGACAUCCAGAAAUAAUACACAAGAUUGCAUUGCCCA